CCCUCUCUUAUUUUACAUUCAUGAUGGUGGUUUCUCCAUGCUGUCUGCCAUUUCCCCCGUCUACCACAAUCACUGCGCUGCUCUAUCUGCUGAGGCUAACGUCCUCGUCGUCUCUGUGGCGUACGGUCUCUUCCCAACCCGACCAUACCAGCAUGCUAUGAAGAUUCGUGGGCAGCGCUUCAAUGGGCGGCGUCUCAUGUAAAUCGGAAUGGUCCCGGGCAGUGGUUGAAUGAUCAUGCUGAUUUUGGGAAAGUUUUUAUUGGUGGGGGUAGUGCAGGGGGUAACAUAUCGCACACUUUGUCGUUUCGCGUCGGGUCAACCCAAUACACGCCGGAGUGAAGGUGGUUGGGGUGAUUUUGGUACAUCCAUAUUUUGGUGGUACUGAAGAUGAUGAAAUGUGGCUGUACAUGUGUCCAGAUAAUAGAGGUUUGGAUGAUCCUAGGAUCAACACGCCUGUGGAGGAUAUUGCAAGGCUUGGGUGUGAGAAGGUGCUGAUUUUUUUAGCCGAGAAAGACCAUUUGAACAGUGUGGGCAAGAACUACUGUGAGAAGGUGAAGAAGAGUGAAUGGAAAGGAAGUUUUGAACUUGUUGAGAAUGAAAAGGAAGAAACCUGCUUCCAUUUGCAUAAUCCCGACCAUGACAAGGCUUUGGAGUUGAAGAGAAAGUUUGUUUCCUUUCUAAAACAGGAGUAAUUUCCAUGAGGCUAUGUAUAAUCUUGGUAACCUAUAAAUUUCACUAAAUAAAACAUGGCUUGGCC
RNAcentral lists this unclassified non-coding RNA (757 nucleotides) under Hevea brasiliensis (rubber tree). The record is from RNAcentral. Lineage: Eukaryota; Viridiplantae; Streptophyta; Magnoliopsida; Malpighiales; Euphorbiaceae.